Molecule: unclassified non-coding RNA, 386 nt
Filed under: fungal sp.
Lineage: Eukaryota; Fungi
Description: partial internal transcribed spacer region
Rfam family: Eukaryotic small subunit ribosomal RNA (bases 1-46)
Source: RNAcentral
AAGUCGUAACAAGGUUUCCGUAGGUGAACCUGCGGAAGGAUCAUUAACACGUAUCCACGUAUCAACCAAUGAGAACCUGUUUUCCCGUCUCCCUUUGCAAAGAAUGAAUUGGAACCAGUUUGAGGGAGUGAUGGGACUGAAAAGUCGGCCUUCCUGGUACACUUAUGCAGAUAGAAAUAUUUGCAUAGACAAUUGAAUUUUUGCAGAGGCUAUUUCUUAUCGCUUUGAUCUCCAUCAUGAUCGUGGCGUUAGGGAAACCUUUCACAACAUUUACCAUUUUUGCUAGUUGACUUUUUAUAUGUGUUGUUUUGCGCAAGCAAGAGAGCACACGUUUAUUAAUUGAACGUUAAAAAAUACAACUCUUAGCAAUGGAUAUCUUGGUUCUC